Molecule: ribosomal RNA, 251 nt
Filed under: uncultured bacterium
Lineage: Bacteria
Description: partial 16S ribosomal RNA
Rfam family: Bacterial small subunit ribosomal RNA
Source: RNAcentral
UACGUAGGGUGCAAGCGUUGUCCGGAAUUAUUGGGCGUAAAGAGCUCGUAGGCGGUUUGUCGCGUCUGCUGUGAAAACUCGGGGCUUAACCCCGGGCCUGCAGUGGGUACGGGCAGACUAGAGUGCGGUAGGGGAGACUGGAAUUCCUGGUGUAGCGGUGAAAUGCGCAGAUAUCAGGAGGAACACCGGUGGCGAAGGCGGGCAUCUGGCGGCACUGACUCGUGAGGAGCGAAAGCGUGGGGAGCAACAGG